UUCAGGGCAUUUUGUCCGUCGGACAUAUCACAAUCCGUUUCACUUGUCUUUAUCACACGGCCUUUAAAGAGAUAGGCCGACAUUAAAUAUUUACUUAAAAUACCGAUAGAUGCUUCCAACAUGGCUCAGAGUGAGGAAACCAGCGACGCUAGGUGUCGUAUAAUCGAGCCGAUGGGGAGAAUCGGCUGUUACUGUUGGCAAUAACUUUAACAUCUGGAGAAGCUAGUAUGGUGAAAGAGGAGCUUCGCCUGGGUGAGUGCAGUUCUCAUCCUGCAAGCAGCAAGAAUGCCAAAGACAAAAGCAACAGCUCGACUCUGAGGGCAAUGAGAGAGACCAAGGACUCUGACGACUGCAGUGACCCUGGCUCCCGCUGCAGCUCGGAAAAAGACUCUGGGUACUCCGACAACGGCUCUGACUGGCACCAGACCAAUGUGACUCAGCAGCGGAAUAAACGUCAGACGAGAGAGGUCGGUGAUGUGACGGAGUCUGGCCAAAGCCAAGAUGGUGGGAAAGGAAAACCUGGUAAUCCUAAACGGAUGCCAAGAGGCCAAACAAUUCAGCCCAUCUACAUCCUCAACAACAUAGCACUCAAGCAGCCAGAAACCAUCCAAAAAAGUGGGCAGCUUCUGUGGACAAAUGGCAGCAGCGAAGCCAUUGCUUCCGGUAGCACCCACAUGAUCCUUUUCCAGCAGCCCAGCUUUAUGCCCGCCGCCACCCUCCAGCUUCACAAGCCCUCCUCUCUGAAGAACAGUACCACAGGGAAGAAAGUAACCACCUACUUACCCAUUCUCAACUCCUACCCCCGCAUUGCACCACAUCCGAGCAAAAAGCCUCCCGAUAAAUCCUUUUUGAGCGAUGAGGCGUGGAUUUUGAGCAAGAGGGUAUGCACAGAAUACAAAGGAGAUCUCAAACCUGUGUCCAGGAGUCAGGAGCUGGCAGUCUUCACCUUGGAGCAGUCCACUUCCUCUACAUCCUCCUCCAGUCCCACUCAGGAAACCCCUAAUUCGGCACCCUGCAGUCCGUCCACCUCAGUGCUCACAAGCAAGGGGUCUCAGAGGAGCAGCAACACCCGCCACCGCCGCUUCCUCAACACUGCCGAGAUCCUGCGCCAGUCUGGCCUGCUGGACAUCACGCUGCGCACCAAAGAGCUCCUGGGCCAGAGCAACACCACCGAACGAGAGAUCGCCGAGCUGCGCCAGCACACCGAGCUGCUCUGCCAGGCCACAAGUAGCGGCCUGAGCGGUGGUGCCGCCUGGCAGAAUGUGCACAGGACCAUGGCCGAGUCCAACUGCUACCCAGAUCUGAAAAACCUGAAGUAUUUACAAUCGCUGUCUCACCUGGAAUCAGCUGGCCAGUCGGCCGGUGCUGGAAAAGAGGCCGCGCUAAGCUCAGACUCGACACCGAAACAGAACCGUGCUUGCGCAGAACCACACAAAGAGUUCACGUCAAGUGAUACUUACCCCGAGGAGGUUGCCUUCAUGCCUCCUGAUAGCUCCACUGGUUAGUGUGAGGUGUAGUGCCUUAGAAGAGAGAGCCACACUCGGGUCCAAGGCUGGACCUGAAAACCAGGCGUUCCCUUCAGGAUUGUGUGUGUGGUGUGUUCAACCCUUUAGUGAAAAGCCAACAAUAACUCAAUUUUAAAGAAACUUAAACUAACUUUUUAAUGCAUUGAGAAUUGCGCUCCAUGUUCAAUUCUAGGAGCACAAUGGUCAAUCUCUAUAGGGGGUCCUCUGUUUAUGCCCGAAUUUGUACACAAGUUGGAACACGCCAUCGUCAAUCACUAACCUACACUAAUGCAGUAAUAAAGUAAAGUAAAUAUUCGGUGAAAAACACUUCUAGGCCAUAAUUAUAAAACAAUUAAAUUAUAAGUAGGCCUACUGAGGUAACAAGAGUGCUGCCUUGUGCUGAAUGAGAACCAUUGCUUACGCUGCUGCGCGAACUCGUUCAACAUGCCCUUUGUAACCACAAUGUCGGUACGCCGAGGACCCCCUCCAGUUGCAUCACACUCAUCAUUCUGUGGACAACAAACGAGAGGAACUCAAGUCACAUCCAACUGUCAAACAAGGCUGAGAGAGCUGAUAUAUCAGACCAAUAUACCGUAUUUCCCUCUAAUAGUGGCCCCUAGUCUAAUACAGGCCGUGUUUCAAAAUAUCAAUAAAUCCCUCCUUUUUCCUAUCAGGGAGAAAAAAGGUUACAACUUACACACGGGAAUUAAAUCGUUAACUGCUGAGCCCAUUUGACCUCAAAUGCUAACCCAAACAGAUUCCUACUGGGAAUCUCUCAGAUUUGAAUUAAGUGUGGAGUCAUAAACAAGUUCCCCUGUGCAGUAUUUUCUCAAAUAAUGGCGACCUAUCUAAUAAAUAACGUGACCCAAGUAUAGUCACCAGUGUCAUGACAUCUACUUAAAGGGGAGUUUGAAGUGUUGAAACUGAUGGCAAGAUUUGAACGUAGGCUCACUUCACUGCUACCUCCCUCCCCUCGAGACCAAAGCCAUGCCCCUCAGUAACGUUCACGAGCAUGAUUCUCAAAUUCAUAGAGAAUGCAGAGCCGGCUCCAACAAAAUAGUAGCGCUAGCAAUACUAAGCUGGCAUUAGCACUGUCAACAAGUCAGCGAUAGCCACGGCUACUACGUUGACAGCAUGACUUAACGUGAUGGAGUGUUACUAUAUCACUGAAUGUUAUCAGUUUAAAGUUUUAUGUUUUGGAAUGUACUGUGCCGUGAAAAAGUAUUGGUCCCGUUCUCAAAUUCUUAUAUUUUUGCAUAGUUUCCCCACUUUGGUUAAGAUCAUCAAACAAAUGUAAAUAUAGGACAAAUACAAUUUAAGUGAACUUAGAAUACUGUUUUUAAAUGGUGAUUUAAUUUAUUAAGGGAAAAAAAACAAUUCAAAGUUACCUGGUCCUGUGUGAAAAAGUAAUUACCCCCCCCCCCCUUGUUUAAACAUGAAUUAAUUGUGACUAAUCACACAUUUUGGGUAAUUUUCACUGAUCACACCCAAGCCUGAUUACCUCCAGACCUGAUCAAUCAAGAAACCACAGAAUCUGUCCCCACAAAAUCAAGUCGGUCAAAAGAUCUAAAAGAGCUGCAACAAAAUGACAGGAUCCAAAGAAAUUCCAGAACAGUCAAGAAAUAAAGUAAUUGACAUCUAUCAGUCUGGAAAGGUAUACAAAAGCCAUUUCUAAAGCUUUAGUAUUGCAGCGAACCAUAGGGAGAGCCAUUAACUUCACAUGGGGAAAACAUUGAACAGUGGUGAACCUUCCCAGGAGUGGCCGGCCUCCAAAGAUUACCCCAAGAGAACAGCAAUGACUCAUCCAGUAGGCCACAAAGGAACUUUUGAAGAACUGCAGGCCUUCCUUGCUUCACUUAAGGUCAGUGUUCAUGACACAACAAUAAGGAAGAGACUGGGCAAAAAAGGCAUCUAUGGCAGAGUUCCAAGGCAAAAAUCACUGCUGACCAAAAAUACCAAAGUCUUGUCUUUUGCAAAAAAAAAAAAAAAAACAUCUGAAUGAUUCCCAAGACUUUUGGGAAAAUAUUAUAUGGACUUAUGAGAUGAAAGUUGAGCUUUUUGGAAAGUGUGCAUCUCAUUACAUCUGGCAUAAAUAUAGCACAGUAUUUCAGAAAAACAACAUCAUACCAAGUCAAACAUGGUGGUGGUAGUGUAUUGGUCUUCGGCUGCUUAGCGCCUUCAGGACCUGGACAACUUUCUGUGAUUGAUGUAACAAUGAAUUCUGCUCUUCAACAGAAAAUCCGGAAGAAGAAUGUUCAGCCAUCAGUUUGUGACCUCAAUCUGAGGUGGGCUUGGGUUCUGCAGCAGGAUAACAAGCCAAAACACACCAGCAAGUCAACUUCUGAAUGGCUUAAUAAAUAAAUAACUGCCUGAGGUCCCUCCAGCUCUGAAGGGCAACUCCUGUGAUCACCUUUGGUUACAUUUUUUGGAUUUUCCGGAGGUGACUAGUCUGCCAUAGUUUCAGCCAACCUCUUAAAUUCCAAGGUAAAAGGUCAGCACAAAGCCACGGUGAUGUUCUCAUUGUGUGUGCCUGUGCGUGCAUGAUAAAUGAUUGACACCUCGUGAGGCACGCCUUCUGUCUCUAAUUGGAGUUUUUUUCUCAGCACGGUGGUUUCUUGCAAAUAAAAUUAGAGGCACACGAUGCGGCCAGAGGGCUGUUUAAAAAAACAAAAACAAAAACAUUUAAACAUAAUGUUACUCAUGUCGGCAAGGCAGGAUCCACAAUUAGCGCUCCAGUCGACUGUGAUGUGAUUGCUCCACAAUGUUUUGUAGGUCCAAGUUUGUGUUCCAGGAAGCUACGUGACUUAUUAGUUCUGCUCAGUCUGCCUUAAUAUUAUUUUGUGGCACCUUGACCUGCGAUUGAGAAAAUAAACCCCUGGCCACUGUUACAACUAAGCACAGUAAAAUGGUGCAAGAUGAUAGCUGUCCCACUGACAGGGAUAGAGGACCAGCAGUAGAAUUGAGCCCUGAAAACCAAUCUCUUUGUGUCAUAGAGAAGAUCACCUAUUGCCCUACAUGCCUUUCUAUCCAAAUAUUGAAACAAUGCCUUCAAAACAUCAUACUCCACAAGUUCAACACCCAUCUUUUCUUCUGAUACAACAGUUUUGUUUGCGGUUUCAUUCAGCAGGAAUCCUAAUUGGCAGUCCGACUUAAUUUAAACACACUAAAUCCCCCCCCCCCCCCCCCCCCCCCCCGUGCGCACACACAUGCUUUUAAUUAUUUGUGCACUUCCAGCAUUUAAUUGUUUAUACAACUUUUUAAUAAAUGUAACGUAAAACAACCAUUUUCAGUGUAUUUUGUAUGAAAAUGAUUGUAGUAAUGUGCCCAAAGCAAAACUAUCUAGUGUAGUACAGAGCACAAUUGUUUCCUUUAUAUAAUGGGAAUAUAUAUAUUUUAUUACUAUUAUUAUUUUUUUUUUUAAAUGGGAGGAACCGUGUCAGCCAUUUUAGUAAAAUGUAUUUGCGAAGAUUUAUAAACAAUGGAGUGGGAUACCUUCAUGUACAUAACUGUAACUAUUGGCGUGUUCAAGAUCAGUUCAUCUGUUGUAGUUUUUGCUAUUUCAGAAUCAUUCGAGAUCCUCUUCAGUGAUGUGUUGGAGCACUGUGUCUGUCUUUAGAGUCAGUGAACAGUCAGGCGGUGUGGGCCAGCACAGGCGAUGGAGACGCUAACAGAUGGAUACAAACAACAGUGGUGUACUGAAAUAUGCCAAAAACCUAUAUACAACGAACAGUUGAGAAUAUUGUUCUCUUUUUGAAUUCAUAGAACACAUUGUCACUUGGCUCACCUGACUCAGUGUUCCAGUAGUGGUGCAGCGCCCAGCCAUGCACCAGCAGGAUGGAGGAGAGGGCCAUCGUCCAGCCCAACACGUAGGCCCAGCCCCAGGAGGAUGAUCAUGACAAAGAAGCAGAUUGACCACACUUGAGGCAGCGGCAUCAUGGCCACAGCCAGAGGUGAAACCUAUGAGGAUUUGGAGUUUACCUGACUCAGCCACUUCUGCGAUGGGAACGCCUUGCUCAUGAGGCAUGAAUCCCAGCACGGAGAAGACAGCAAAGCCAGCGACCACACCAAUGCAACUGUUGAGCAAACACAGCCAAAAGCAUUCCCUGCAACACACACAAAAGUAUUUUCUGAGCAAUGGGUUCAAAUCAUUGAGAGGCUGUAGCUCUGCGCAACAGUUGGAAUGAGUGCAAUGUCAGCUAGUGGUGGGCUCAGUAAAGCCCUCACUAGGUUUAUCCAAGGGACCAUUUUUGACCCACAUAUGAAGCUAAAUUAGUUGAAUUCGGACCAUAAAACUCUUCCGUAUUUAUCUGGUUCACGUUUCGGUUGUACUUUCUAAUGAACUCCAGUUAGCAAGCUACAGUAGCUUGCUAAUGGAUAUCAAGAAACUGAAAAACAAUGACAUGAAACCGUCAGUUUAGCCAGUCUGUUGAGUGUGUGUAUUGUUAUGUUCCCCCCCCCCCCCCCCUAGCUUUAUUGUUACACUCACUUGUAGCAAGUUACUGUGAGUGUUGUAGCUGCCCAGUACAGCCAGGGUGCCCACACCGAUGCUGUACAAGAAGAUUCUGCGAGCCGGCGUCCAGCCACACCUGUGUAAAAAGACGCCGCUUCACUGCUUUUGAAAGUGUUUGCCCUCCAUCACAGUGCACACAACACAUUCCUACUUGAGGGUCUGCAAGUCGCGGCAGCUCGGGCAGAAGGUAGAACUUCACUCCUUGUAUGGCUCCCGAAAGAGUGAGUCCCUGGAUCAAAAGGAUGAGGAGCAUCACAUAAGGGUAAGUGGCUGUGAAAUACACCACCUGGACAAGAGGAGGGUUGCAAGACUGUCAGGACAUUUAAUAAAUGCUUGUAGUGUUUGAUUAAGUUUGAGGGACUUCACCUUUCCAGUUGAUUUGACCCCUUUCAAGAUGCAGAAGUAACAAAUGACCCACAUAGCCAGGAGGCACAGAAGCACCUCCCACCUGAUGCUGCCAAUCUCCUCAAUACCUUCAGAGAUCUUCAAGACUCGAAGUCUGGAAAAGCCGACACGCUGCUUAUAUAGAGGAAAGGCUGACGUGACUGAGGACAGCAUGUGGACGGUGAAGGGUGCGCGUGAAAGAGGACGCUAAAGGCACGCCCCCAGUAGGUAUAUAGUGCCGGUAUGGCUAAGGACCCCGAAAAUGGCACCUACGAAGAGAGACGCUUACAAAGCACAGUUUAAGGUGCAAGCUAUCAGUUACGCGGAGGAACAUGGGAAUCGAGCAGCCGCGAGAGAAUUCAAGAUCAACGAAUCCAUGGUUCGCAAGUGGAGGAAGCAUUCAAGAAUACGAAGCUGAGUUUCCGCAGAAACAAGGCGAGGUGGCCCGAGUUGGAAGACCAACUCGAGCAAUGGAUUAAUGAGCAAAGAACAGCCGGGAGAAGCGUCUCUACAGUCACCAUUCGACUUAGUGCAAUAACUCGGAGCUUGCCAUCACUCUCCAACCGCUGAACAUCGGUGUAAACAGGGCGUUCAAAGUGAAGUUGCGAGCGGCGUGGGACCGAUGGAUGACAGAUGGCGAACACAGCUUUACUAAGACUAGGAGGCAGCGCCGGGCGAAUUACGCCACAAUUUGUGAAUGGAUUGUGGAUGCUCAGGGCUAACGUGUCUGCUUGCACUCUUGUUCGAGCUUUUGUAAAAGCCGGCAUCAUUUCUGAGGAGCCGCACGGCAACGAGACUGACUCCGACAAUGACGAGAAGGAACCUGGCGUGUUAGAUGGAGAACUUGCCCAGCUGUUCAUUUCGGAUACAGAAGAUGAGGACUUUGAUGGAUUUGUGGAUGAGGAUUGAUCAAAAAAUAACAAUGGCAGGCUUGUUGCACAGCUUCAUCAUCAGCUCUUCCAGCUCCUUCCCUCAGGUAGGCGCUACCGAUCAAUGCAAACUAGAACAAGCAGACAUUCCAACAGCUUCUUCCCUCUUGCAAUCAACUUCUUAAACACCUAACCAACAAUUCCAUUACAAUUUUUUGUCUUUUUGUCUUGAGUUUGUUGUCACAUUUCUGUCGAGCCAAUUAUAUAUUACUCGUGCACUGAUUGUAUGUAUCACCACGCUGCACUAUUUGCAUAUCUGUUGUUGACCAAUACUGGCCACUCAUGCCAGAGUAGCAUCUGCUCCAUUUGCACACUGACAGAGGAGUAUCUGCAACAUUUGCACAAUCAACAUUGUCCCAGACUAUCGUACUACUCGCUUGAAGUCUCGGCGCCCUUUGCACAAUGGUCAUUGCACAGACUAUUGCAAUAUUACUCAUUCGAACUGCUCUAAGUGCUAGAGGACUCUGCAUCUUUUUGCACAAUUGUCAAAAAAAUAAAAUAAAAUACAAAAAGUAAUGCAUUACCAGAUAACGAGCAACCCUUUAUUGCUCAGUGACUGUUUUUCUCAAUGUCUUCAUGUCUCAAAAUUGUUCUCUGUCAAUUGUCGUACUAGAGCGGCUCCAAUUACCGGAGACAAAUUCCUUGUGUGUAUUUUGGUCAUACUUGGCAAAUAAAGAUUAUUCUGAUUCUC
Molecule: RNA transcript, 8019 nt
Organism: Phyllopteryx taeniolatus (common seadragon)
Lineage: Eukaryota; Metazoa; Chordata; Actinopteri; Syngnathiformes; Syngnathidae
Exons: 9
Source: RefSeq, a predicted model, not a curated record